This 400-nucleotide ribosomal RNA is filed under the name uncultured bacterium. RNAcentral's name for it is "bacterial SSU rRNA". It matches the Rfam family "Bacterial small subunit ribosomal RNA", at positions 355 to 772 of the family's 1533-position model. The record is from RNAcentral.
UGGGGAAUAUUGGGCAAUGGGCGAAAGCCUGAUCCAGCAAUGCCGCGUGAGUGAUGAAGGCCUUAGGGUUGUAAAGCUCUUUUACCCGGGAUGAUAAUGACAGUACCGGGAGAAUAAGCCCCGGCUAACUCCGUGCCAGCAGCCGCGGUAAUACGGAGGGGGCUAGCGUUGUUCGGAAUUACUGGGCGUAAAGCGCACGUAGGCGGGUCGUUAAGUCAGGGGUGAAAUCCCGGAGCUCAACUCCGGAACUGCCUUUGAUACUGGCGAUCUUGAGAUCGGAAGAGGUGAGUGGAAUUCCCAGUGUAGAGGUGAAAUUCGUAGAUAUUGGGAAGAACACCAGUGGCGAAGGCGGCUCACUGGUCCGAUACUGACGCUGAGGUGCGAAAGCGUGGGGAGCAAA